AUACUAAAUAAAGUUGUGGGUAAUUUUAUUUAUGGGCUAGAUGAUGAAACAUUUAGCAUCACUAAUUUAUUAAGUGGGAAACUAGAGCUAACAAAUAUUCAUCUGAAACAGACGAUUAUUGAUUUGUUAGGUAUACCAUGUAGAUUAAACUUUGGAUGUAUAGGACGUUUUAAAAUAAAUUUACCAUUUUUUUAUUUUAUGAAAAGCUCAAUAAAUGUAUAUAUAGAAGAUAUUAUUAUAGUAGUAUCUACUAUACCUUCAAAAUAUUUUGAUGACAAGUUAUUUAAAGAAAAAUAUAUACAGAAUAAAAAAAANNNNNNNNNNUUUUUUAAGUGUACUUAAAAAACAUACAAGUAACAUACUUAAUAGUAAAGAACAAAAUAAUAUUGAUUCUGUUCAGGAGACAAUAAAUUAUAAUUUUUUAAAAAAAAAUUUUAUUAUAUUAAAUGAAAGCUUACAAACAAAUAUGUUUAAUAAUAUACAAUAUGCUGUUCCAUUGUAUACUUUUAUUAUUUUUAAAAUUAGUUUUAUUGCAAAACUGGAUAAAAAUUAUACCUUUAACAUUUUAUACUCUAUCAAUAGUAUAGACAUAAGAGAUGAAACGAAUAUAUCUUUAUUAAGCAUGAGUUCUAUUUAUAAAAGCGAAACAAAUAAUACAAAAAAGAAAAAAAAUUUUAAUGAUAACAUAUCGAAGCGUAACCAAAAUAACACUCAUUUUAAAAUAAAGAGCCGUAAGAUUAGUGUAUCAGGAAAUGAGUCAAAUGAAUGCGCCAGAAAAGACCUCAAGCAUAGUUCUGAGAAAGACUCUUGUACCCAAACCAAAUCCACCAGUACUAACAAAAAAAAAGAAAAAGAAAAAAUAUAUAAAAAUAAACCUAAACCAUAUAGUGACGUAUUUUAUAAGUCUUAUUUUAAUAAUGAUGUACAAAAUUUAGAAAAAGAUCAUUUCGUUUUAUUAUAUUAUGGUGCAUUAUUAAAAAAUAACCAUACCAUAAAAUUUAUACUUAAUACAACGAAAAUUAAAAUAUAUUGGGAAGUUAUUGAUGAAUUUAUAUCUUGGCUAUUAAACGUAUAUGAAUUCAUACCAAAAAUUAAUAUAAUACAUGAAAAUUUUAUUAAUAAGUUAGACAUUUUCGAAAAUAAUUAUUUAGAAGCAUUUGAAAAAGCACAGUAUAUCAAUUAUGAAUUAUUAUAUACAAAAAAAACAAAAAAAUCCACAAGUAAAUGUACAAACAAAAAUCGUAAUGUUAGUUGUUCAUCCAACAUGGAAUAUAAAAUACCAUUACAUGAUAUAAGAGACUAUUUAUAUGACAUAAAUUUGAAACGGCAAAAAGAUCAUACAAACGGGUAUGACAUUUGUACUGACAGAUAUGAUGACCUAACACAAACCAAACAUAUAGACUUAAGGUAUAAUGAUUAUUUUUUUAUAUUGACAGAUAAAAAAAAAACUGUGCAUAAAAAAAACAACAUAAUAUCCAUAUAUAUAGAAAAGGACAUUAACGAUACUAUAAAAAAUAUAUUACUACAUGAAAACUAUUUUUUUCAAUUAUACCUUCAAACAAAUGAAUAAAAACAAAAAUA
This is a long non-coding RNA of Piliocolobus tephrosceles (Ugandan red Colobus), 1581 nucleotides long. Lineage: Eukaryota; Metazoa; Chordata; Mammalia; Primates; Cercopithecidae. The record is from Ensembl.